AUGGAUUAUAAAAUUGUGGCACCAAGUCUUGAUGGCAGAAAGGGUGGAUUGUUACUAGUCUGGAAGAAGGAGGUUAGGAUCUACUCCCGGACUACUACCUUUAGUUGCAUUGAUGUGGCGGUGGAGGAACUGGAUGGGAAAGAGUGGAGGUUAUCAUGUGUGUACGGCGAGCCAAACUGGGAUAAUAAGGAGAGAACGUAUCAACUCCUUCGUGAUUUGCAUGCUCAGUCUAGACUUCCAUGGGUUGCGAUUGGUGAUUUUAACGAGAUCUUAUUCUCGUCUGAAAAGGAAGGAGGAGCACCACGACAACAAGUUCGGCUUCAGGCAUUCCAGGAUGCACUCUCAGAUUGCUCACUAGAAGAUAUUGGCUACCAUGGUGACAAAUUCACGUUCUUUAGAGGAGGAUUGAGGGAACGGCUGGACCGGGCUGUUUCGAACGCUGAAUGGAUGAAACUACACCCAUUGUGUGGGCUGUCUAACCUUGAUAUGGGCAACUCUGAUCACCGGCCAAUUUUUCUGGAUACGGAUUACUUGACAGGGGUAGCUGCACCGCGAAGAACUUGA
RNAcentral lists this ribosomal RNA (564 nucleotides) under Triticum aestivum (bread wheat). RNAcentral describes it as "partial small subunit ribosomal RNA". The record is from RNAcentral. Lineage: Eukaryota; Viridiplantae; Streptophyta; Magnoliopsida; Poales; Poaceae.